UUGAAAAUGUGCCUCCUGGAGACAG
RNAcentral lists this non-coding RNA (25 nucleotides) under Rattus norvegicus (Norway rat). Lineage: Eukaryota; Metazoa; Chordata; Mammalia; Rodentia; Muridae. The record is from RNAcentral.